GACGAACGCUGGCGGCGUGCCUAACACAUGCAAGUCGAACGGGGCAAUUUCUUCGGAGAUUGCUUAGUGGCGAACGGGUGAGUAACGCGUGAGAAACCUGCCUCUCAGUGGGGGACAACAGUUGGAAACGACUGCUAAUACCGCAUAACAUAUUCGAAGGGCAUCCUUUGAAUAUCAAAGCUUUAUGUGCUGAGAGAUGGUCUCGCGUCUGAUUAGCUAGAUGGCGGGGUAACGGCCCACCAUGGCGACGAUGUCUAGGGGUUCUGAGAGGAAGGUCCCCCACACUGGAACUGAGACACGGUCCAGACUCCUACGGGAGGCAGCAGUGAGGAAUAUUGGUCAAUGGUCUGACGACUGAACCAGCCAUGCCGCGUGAAGGACGACGGUCCUAUGGAUUGUAAACUUCUUUUAUAUGGGAAUAAAGUGUGGGACGUGUCCCAUUUUGAUGUACCAUUAUGAAUAAGCAUCGGCUAACUCCGUGCCAG
Molecule: ribosomal RNA, 485 nt
Filed under: uncultured bacterium
Lineage: Bacteria
Description: bacterial SSU rRNA
Rfam family: Bacterial small subunit ribosomal RNA
Source: RNAcentral